This 433-nucleotide ribosomal RNA is filed under the name uncultured bacterium. RNAcentral describes it as "partial 16S ribosomal RNA". It matches the Rfam family "Bacterial small subunit ribosomal RNA", at positions 29 to 507 of the family's 1533-position model. The record is from RNAcentral.
AACGAACGCUGGCGGCAUGCCUAACACAUGCAAGUCGAACGAGACCUUCGGGUCUAGUGGCGCACGGGUGCGUAACGCGUGGGAACCUGCCCUUAGGUUCGGAAUAACUCCCCGAAAGGGGUGCUAAUACCGGAUAAUGUCUUCGGACCAAAGAUUUAUCGCCUUUGGAUGGGCCCGCGUUGGAUUAGCUAGUUGGUAGUGUAAAAGCCUACCAAGGCGACGAUCCAUAGCUGGUCUGAGAGGAUGAUCAGCCACACUGGGACUGAGACACGGCCCAGACUCCUACGGGAGGCAGCAGUGGGGAAUAUUGGACAAUGGGCGAAAGCCUGAUCCAGCAAUGCCGCGUGAGUGAUGAAGGCCUUAGGGUUGUAAAGCUCUUUUACCCGGGAUGAUAAUGACAGUACCGGGAGAAUAAGCUCCAGCUAACUCCGUG